RNAcentral lists this long non-coding RNA (3749 nucleotides) under Homo sapiens (human). RNAcentral's name for it is "non-protein coding lnc-PFKFB3-13:3". Lineage: Eukaryota; Metazoa; Chordata; Mammalia; Primates; Hominidae. The record is from RNAcentral.
AGUAUCCUCCUUUGACAGACGAGGAAAUGAAGCACAGAGAAGGUAAGAAACUUGCCCAGGACACGCAGCUCUAGAGCUGGGAUAUCUAUAAGCUUGGCAGUCAGAAUCAGAGCCCAGCCAUUCUCUUUUCUGUCUCAAAAUAAAUGUGAAGGCUUAUCGGGGUAGGGAGAGGGGAGUGGGAGAGGGAUGCUAGUGAUCGACAUGGAAUUUUUUUAAAAAACAGUUUUCCAGAGUUUAAAUCAAACUUAUUGCAGGAACAACAAAACACUUGGAUAGUUGGAUUCCUGGUAAGAAUGUGAAUAUUCUUGUGCAGGAUAAAAUGCUUUAUUUUCUAAAGGUUUAUAAUCUCUGCAGAAGUUUCUAAUUCAACAGUUCCUUUGGGAAGGUGCAUAGCAAAGAUGCCUUAUUCAUCAGCACAGCAAUAGAUCUAACGUUCCCGCCAGGGGUACUGGUCAGCGUUGGUUCUUUAGAAAGCCUGUGUAGAAUCGAUUAAAAAUUGCUCAGCACUUACUACAGCCAUUUUCAACCAAGAAAAAAAUAAUUUUCGGGACUCACUUAUAUUCCACAGUUUAAAUAUGGACAAUUAAUAGGUCAAGGUCCAGGCUGGAAGGGGACCACUUCGAAUCUUGAAUGCAGGGGCAAACAGCUCAAGACACCAUGGCUGAUGAAGACGCUAUGUACACGCUUUCCAGUAUGAAAACCAAUGAGCUACAUGGGGCUGGCGAACACUUGAAAGGUGGUGAGUUAGAGUUGAGAUGUGCUGGACGUGUAAAAUAAUACAUCCUGGAGUUUGAAGACUUUUGUAUAAAAUUACUUAAGAUAUCUGAAUUUUUCAAAUGUCGAUUUUUUGUUGAAAUGAUAUUUGAACAGAUUGGAUUAAAUAAAAUGUAUUAUUAAAAUUAAUUUCACCCAUUGCUUUUUCCUUUAUUUAAUGUGGGCUACUUGGAAAUGUAAAAUUACACAUGUAGCCCUCAUUCUAUUUAUUUCUAUCGGACAAUACUGCUCCAGGGGUAGAGGAACAAAAGAAUCCCAAAGAUGAUGUCCCCUUGAGUGAACAAGAAAUCAAAAUAUCCUGGGAGAAGAUAAUAUCACAGACAUUUAUUUAUGUAGCUGACAGUUUCUCAAGACUUUGUACCAGGAACUUUGUUAGUCAUUGAGGUUAACAGUGAUUCAGAGAUUUGCGUUUUUUUCUAGAAAAGCUGAAGGCAUCAAGUAAAGGAAGAAGUCUGGGAGGUGAAAAUUUGAUCUAAGCAAGCAAAAACAUGGUCUGAGAGAUUGUGAUCUUAAUUUUAGUACCAGCUCUGCCACGUACAGGUGAUCAAACAUGAACAAACUACUUUAACCUCUUUGAGUCUUAGCAGAAUCACCGGUUAGCACAAGUUUAUCUCCUUCUGCUUCUAAAUGUUAGGAGAAAUUCUACUCUGGAAAAACCCAGCCACUUCGCCUUCUCUGAACCUGCCCCUUUGUUGGAGAAAAUCAUACUCCUGAGCAGGCUGACUCCGUCAAAUUCAAAUGGACUUUCAGCUCUGCUCCACAGUCUGACUGCUUUUCACGAGUCACCUUGCUUUCUCUAAGAUAAUUAUCUCAUAGAUCUUCCUUUUUCCUCGAAGGCACUUGUUGCUUUCUCUUUUCCUUCCUCCAGCCAUCAAACUCCAUGGGGGACACAUGCAGUCUAAGGGAAGCGCCUUUGUGUGCCCAUCACCAAAGCUCCACACCCAUCCCCAUCAGCAACUGUCUUGCCCUACUCCCUUCCGGUUAAACUGUGGAAGCUCCAGGGACCAGUCUCCACCAGAGCUCAGGCCCUCUUCGCUUCCUGCCAACAGACUUGACUGUUUUGUUUAUCUGUCUCUCCAGCUUUAUCCAUCUCUCCCUGGCCACGGGAGCACUUGCCAUCCUUGGGGUCUCAUUUCCCAGCCACUGUUCUCUGUCCAUCAUCUCCUUCAUGGUUCACCUUCUUCAUAAUAUCAACUUACAGGUUGUUUUCAUGUCAUCACCUCAGUCACCCUUCUGCAGGUCAAUCAGACUAAUGCCUCCAAGAUGCCCCUGACAUUUCUCUGAUUUAAGCCUGUGAAGAUCUGCACGUGGGCCUCAAUUUCAACACCUCAACUGCACAGAACACAACCCACCUCUUCUUCUUCUGGUUUCUGUAACUUCAUAGACUCUGGGUGUAGGAGGAGCGGUCUCUGAGCCCAGUUUCUCAAUGUCUAUCUCUGUCCUUUAUCUUCUACCUAACAUCUCAUUUUAGAUUCCUUUGUAGUCAGUCCUGAACUUUCUCUAUUUCCUCACUAGGCAAUCUCUUCAGCAACUUUAAAAUCUACCUAUAUGAUGGUCACUGUCAAAUUUAUAGGGUUGGGCCCUUGUCCCAGAGGAAUUCCAAGCUCAUGUGAAAUUGUCUAUUUGAUGCUUCAACUUGGAUGUCCACCUCUCCGACUCAACAUGUCCAAACUGGAAAAAUUCAUCUCUCCUUCCAGUCUUCUUCACUCCGUCGUGGCUCUGUUAUCUACCACACUGCUCGGCCUCGGGCAGAAGCCAGAACCUGCGGCAUCAUCCUUAUAUCCACCUCUUUCAUCUAAUCUUUUGGCAAAUCCAGUCAUUUCUAACAUCAAAAUCACCUGAGAACCUGCCCCUUUGCUCCACCUCUGCUGACGUCUCACUGGUAUAAACCACCAACCUCCCCGCUUGGAGGAUUCCUUCCAUCUCCUCUGGUUUCACUUUCACAUCUCAACGCACUAUUUCUACUACAGCAUCCCAAAGUGGGCUUUCUACUACAAGUUGCACAAAAUACAAUCAUUUUUCCAGGCUCCAAAGAAACCCCGCAUGACCCAGGCCUUGGUGCCUUCCCCAGUGUGGGCUUCCAGUCUGCGCAGCCCUUGCAGCUGUCACCACACUGGUCCCAUUUCAGUUCCUGGAACACAUUGGACUCUCCCUCAGCAGGGUCUUCCAGCCUGUAAGGAGCUUCCUUCCUCCUGCUCUUCACCUAACCAGCUCUGUCACUCUUCAGCUGUCAGUUUCAAUGUUCCCUCCGUUGGGGAGAUUCCCGGACCACAGAGUCUCAGUAGGCCACAUGCUUACUCUCCACCUUGCACCUUGUUCACUAUCUUUGUAGCACUUAAUAUAAAUCGAAGCCAUACAUAGCUGUUUAUUAUCUGUUUCUCCAACUUCGCAGGACCACGUCUGUUUUGUGUUAUGCUGUCAUUGGAAGAAUGCGGUAUCUUCCAUGAAUCAGAUACCCAGUGAGGAUUUGUGGAAUGAAAAAGGAAACGGUGGGAGAAGGAAGUCAAAAGAUUUCAUAAUGAGUGACAGAGUGGAGUAAUAGACAUUGGAGACUACAGAUGGCAGGAUGGGAGGGAGGGAGGAUUGAAAAUUACCUAUUGGGUGUAAUAUUCACUCUUCGGAUGGUGGGUUCACUAGAAGCCCAGACUUCCCCACCAGGUAAUAUAGGCAUAGAAGAAAUCUGUACUUGUAGGCCAGGUGUGGUGGCUCAUGCCUAUAAUCCCAGCACUUUGGAAGGCCAAGACAGGUGAAUCACCUGAGGUCAGGAGUUUGAGACCAGCCUGGCCAACAUGGUGAAACCGCAUCUCUACUAAAAAUACGAAAAUUAGCCAGGCGUGGUGGCAUAUGCCCGUAAUCCCAGCUACUCAGGAGGCUGAGGCAGGAGAAUCUCUUGAUCCUGGAAGGUGGAAGUUGCAGUGAACCAAGAUGACACCACUGCACUCCAGCCUGGGUAAACAGAGUAAGAUUCCAUCUCA